AUUGAACGCUGGCGGCAGGCUUAACACAUGCAAGUCGAGCGGGGGAAGGUAGCUUGCUACCGGACCUAGCGGCGGACGGGUGAGUAAUGCUUAGGAAUCUGCCUAUUAGUGGGGGACAACAUCUCGAAAGGGAUGCUAAUACCGCAUACGUCCUACGGGAGAAAGCCGGGGAUCUUCGGACCUUGCGCUAAUAGAUGAGCCUAAGUCGGAUUAGCUAGUUGGUGGGGUAAAGGCCUACCAAGGCGACGAUCUGUAGCGGGUCUGAGAGGAUGAUCCGCCACACUGGGACUGAGACACGGCCCAGACUCCUACGGGAGGCAGCAGUGGGGAAUAUUGGACAAUGGGGGGAACCCUGAUCCAGCCAUGCCGCGGGUGUGAAGAAGGCCUUAUGGUUGUAAAGCACUUUAAGCGAGGAGGAGGCUACUUUAGUUAAUACCUAGAGAUAGUGGACGUUACUCGCAGAAUAAGCACCGGCUAACUCUGUG
This 485-nucleotide ribosomal RNA is filed under the name uncultured bacterium. RNAcentral's name for it is "partial 16S ribosomal RNA". It matches the Rfam family "Bacterial small subunit ribosomal RNA", at positions 30 to 507 of the family's 1533-position model. The record is from RNAcentral.